This 253-nucleotide ribosomal RNA is filed under the name uncultured bacterium. RNAcentral's name for it is "partial 16S ribosomal RNA". It matches the Rfam family "Bacterial small subunit ribosomal RNA", at positions 524 to 776 of the family's 1533-position model. The record is from RNAcentral.
UACGGAGGGGGCAAGCGUUAUUCGGAAUUAUUGGGCGUAAAGGGCUCGUAGGCGGUUUGUCGCGUCGGGAGUGAAAAUCCAGGGCUUAACUCUGGACUGGCUUCCGAUACGGGCAGACUAGAGGUAUGCAGGGGAGAACGGAAUUCCUGGUGUAGCGGUGAAAUGCGUAGAUAUCAGGAGGAACACCGGUGGUGUAGACGGCUUUCUGGACCGUAACUGACGCUGAGACACGAAAGCGUGGGUAGCAAACAGG